ACUUGCUCUGGGGAAGCCAGCUGCCAUGUCCUGAAGAUACUAAGGCAACCGUGUGCAGAGGAACUAAAAUACCGAGUUCAACAACAGGUGAGUAGGGAAAACCAAAAACCAGGGCAGGGAGCUUGGAAAUGGCUAGUCCGGUCUUCAGAUGACUGUAGCUUGGCUUACCUCUUCACUGCAACUUCAUGGGAGAUCCAGCACCAGAACCACUCAACCGAGCCACUCUCAGGUUCCUGAUCCACAUGAACUUUGUGAGUUAAAAAAUGUUUGUGUUUUUUAAGUUGCUAAAAUUUGGGGUACUUUUUAAUGCAGUAGUAGAAAAUUGAUGCCCUUUGUAUAUAAAUUCCUUAAUUUAAAAUAAAGCAAGUAACAUAACAUAUAGUAUAUUGGUCUGUUUCUUUAAAAAACAUCUUGUACAUCAAAAUAUUGAUAACUGUUGUCUGGGUGGUAAGAUUAUGUGUGGUUUAACUUCUUUAUGUUUCUAAGUAUUUUUUAUUUCUUCUAAAUAGUAUUAUACAAAUAUUGUAACUUUUAAAAUAAACUUUUAAUAAAAGCAGAAAAUAAAAAUAACUCUUUUUUUUUCUGUGUUCACCCUUCUACAGAUCACAGGUUGCGAGAGGUCUUAAAUCCAUACUCUUCCAGUGACUAGAGCAAAUGCAGCCCUAGGUCUGGCAUCCUGAAUUUUUGUCUUAUUUUUUCAUUAGUACACGAGACUCUACUUUCAUCUUUUUAAAAGGUCUCUUGCUAUCCUUCAAGCAAAGCUAUCUCCAAAUCUGAAGAAGAGACCAAGAAAUAGAAAAAGUAGCACCUCUUGCCUGCUUCCCUGUCUAAUAUUUGAAAGAGUGGUGAGUAUUGAUGUUAUUAUUGCCUUUUC
This 874-nucleotide long non-coding RNA is filed under the name Homo sapiens (human). Its description in RNAcentral is "HSALNT0335572". Lineage: Eukaryota; Metazoa; Chordata; Mammalia; Primates; Hominidae. The record is from RNAcentral.